This 74-nucleotide transfer RNA is filed under the name Caudoviricetes sp. RNAcentral describes it as "tRNA-Arg". It matches the Rfam family "tRNA". Rfam says of the family: Transfer RNA (tRNA) molecules are approximately 80 nucleotides in length. Their secondary structure includes four short double-helical elements and three loops (D, anti-codon, and T loops). Lineage: Duplodnaviria; Heunggongvirae; Uroviricota; Caudoviricetes. The record is from RNAcentral.
AGUUCCUUAACUCAAUUGAAUAGAGUAACACACUUCUAAUGUGUAAGUUAUGGGUUUGAAUCCCAUAGGAACUA